GUUGGAUAGGAUCCGACCCGAAUGUCGGGGGUGGGUGACGUGAUCCGGUCGGACCGGUUAUGUAAUGGAGUAAUGGUGUUGUUGGAAAUGUUUGUUAUGUAACGAAUCUCUCUUUAUCAGCUUGUAAAUUACGCGUUCCUCAGCCAACAAACACAGCUGACGAUUUGUUCGGGGAAUAUGGACUGUUUUUGUCUUUUCAUUUUGUAAAAAGUGAUCUUAUUCUCUGUGUGCAACCUCACCCCGUAGUUU
Arabidopsis thaliana (thale cress) is the source of this 249-nucleotide long non-coding RNA. RefSeq annotates it as other RNA. NCBI's taxonomy places the organism in Eukaryota, Viridiplantae, Streptophyta, Magnoliopsida, Brassicales, Brassicaceae. The record is from RefSeq. The transcript has a single exon.